RNAcentral lists this long non-coding RNA (621 nucleotides) under Equus asinus (donkey). Its description in RNAcentral is "lncRNA (ENSEASG00005001052.2)". Lineage: Eukaryota; Metazoa; Chordata; Mammalia; Perissodactyla; Equidae. The record is from RNAcentral.
GCCGGGCCGGCGCAGGCGGAGCUCCCAGACCCGGCGGACUCUAAGCCAGCUAGCCAGAUUUUCGUUGCGAGAGCGCUGGGGCCCAGGCCUAGCCUAGGAGGUCCCUGAGUCCCCCACCCGCCCCUUAAUUCUCUGUGAAUCCUGUUUGCAAAGAGGGCUCUUUGCCAACGCCUGUCCUUGGCAGCGUUAGACCAGGCUCGGAGGCAGCGCUGCCUCGUGUUGCCCAAAAGUGGGAGAGAAGACAAAGCACUGAGUGGCCUUCCUGCGCACGGCUGUCAGUUCCGGACCGCCCUCCGUCACUCCUGCAAGAGCCCCACCCUGUCCCUGAGAGAAGGAGCAGACGGCCCAAAGCAUGCCUCUAGUCGUAGCCCUAGAUGCUUUCACUUGAAGGGGGCUGUCGCACGGGGCCUGGUGUGCACUGAAACAAACAGGAAACACGCCAUCUCCAUCCUUUCAACACCCCGCACCCACCCUUCCCUCUCCCUGCAGAACUGGGUAUUCAUUUCUCAGGUUAUUGAAGAUAAAUGUAAAACAAAUACACAGGUGGCUUGUAUUUCAGGAGGCAUUGGAGUAUUUGUUGUAAACAAUAGAUUUUAUGCUGCACCUAUGCUAUUGCAAAAU